GAUGAACGCUGACAGAAUGCUUAACACAUGCAAGUCGAUUCGAUUUACCUUCGGGUAUUGAGGAUGGCGGACGGGUGAGUAACGCGUAAGGAACUUGCCUCUUGGACUGGGACAACUGUUGGAAACGACAGCUAAUACCGGAUAUUAUGAGAUUCUCGCAUGGGAAACUUAUGAAAGCUAUAUGCGCCAAGAGAGAGCCUUGCGUUCCAUUAGCUAGUUGGUGGGGUAAUGGCCCACCAAGGCGACGAUGGAUAGCCGGCCUGAGAGGGUGAACGGCCACAAGGGGACUGAGACACGGCCCUUACUCCUACGGGAGGCAGCAGUGGGGAAUAUUGGACAAUGGGCCACAAGCCUGAUCCAGCAAUUCUGUGUGCACGAUGAAGGUCUUCGGAUCGUAAAGUGCUUUCAGUUGGGAAGAAGAAAGUGACGGUACCAACAGAAGAAGCGACGGCUAAAUACGUGC
This 463-nucleotide ribosomal RNA is filed under the name uncultured bacterium. Its description in RNAcentral is "bacterial SSU rRNA". It matches the Rfam family "Bacterial small subunit ribosomal RNA", at positions 28 to 508 of the family's 1533-position model. The record is from RNAcentral.